AGCGAACGCUGGCGACAGGCCUAACACAUGCAAGUCGAACGAACUCUUCGGAGUUAGUGGCGGACGGGUGAGUAACACGUGGGAACGUGCCUUUUGGUUCGGAAUAACUCAGGGAAACUUGUGCUAAUACCGAAUGUGCCCUUCGGGGGAAAGAUUUAUCGCCAUUAGAGCGGCCCGCGUCUGAUUAGCUAGUUGGUGAGGUAACGGCUCACCAAGGCGACGAUCAGUAGCUGGUCGGAGAGGAUGACCAGCCACACUGGGACUGAGACACGGCCCAGACUCCUACGGGAGGCAGCAGUGGGGAAUCUUGCGCAAUGGGCGAAAGCCUGACGCAGCCAUGCCGCGUGAAUGAUGAAGGUCUUAGGAUUGUAAAAUUCUUUCACCGGGGACGAUAAUGACGGUACCCGGAGAAGAAGCCCCGGCUAACUUCGUG
RNAcentral lists this ribosomal RNA (433 nucleotides) under uncultured bacterium. RNAcentral's name for it is "partial 16S ribosomal RNA". It matches the Rfam family "Bacterial small subunit ribosomal RNA", at positions 29 to 507 of the family's 1533-position model. The record is from RNAcentral.